AGCUUUGUAUCAUGCAUAGCUGCAGCCAUCUCACAUCCUGCUUAUGGUGUUGAUAUGACGCCCGAAGUCAUACACCAGCUGCGGUUGACUGUGUCAAGUGAUCACUGUGGCCACUGGCUACAAUGUCGACCGGUUGAAACCGGGUUCUGUUCCCACAGUCUUUCCACCAUGGACGGGAAAGCUCCAACCAUUCAAGUCCUCCCGGUUUCGACCCUUGCCUGUUCUGGACUCUGUACCUGCCUGCCUGACCAUUCUGCCUGCCUUGACCACGAGCCUUUCUGCUACUCUGUACCUUAUGAACUCUGAUCUGUUUUUGACCUUUUGCCUGUCCACGACUAUUCUCUUGGCUACUCCUUUUAGAUUAUUAAACAUUGUAAGACUCCAA
Molecule: non-coding RNA, 385 nt
Organism: Salmo salar (Atlantic salmon)
Lineage: Eukaryota; Metazoa; Chordata; Actinopteri; Salmoniformes; Salmonidae
Source: RefSeq, a predicted model, not a curated record